Molecule: unclassified non-coding RNA, 1357 nt
Filed under: uncultured Neocallimastigales
Lineage: Eukaryota; Fungi; Neocallimastigomycota; Neocallimastigomycetes; Neocallimastigales
Description: partial contains small subunit ribosomal RNA, internal transcribed spacer 1, 5.8S ribosomal RNA, internal transcribed spacer 2, and large subunit ribosomal RNA
Rfam family: Eukaryotic large subunit ribosomal RNA (bases 649-1357)
Source: RNAcentral
AAGUAAAGUCGUACAAGGUUCCGUAGGUGAACCUGCGGAAGGAUCAUUAAAAAUUGGUGACUGUAAUUUAGGUUAACCAUUAAUAAUAUCCUACCCUUUGUGAAUUUGUUUGUUAUGUAAAAUUUUUUGUCUAUCCUAAAGAAAGGUUGGAUAAGUGUAAUAGCUUAAAAAACUUUUUUUAGGGAAUGGCUUAAAGACUUUUAUUUAAAUUAAACUUUUGUAUUCAUUUGUCUAAAUUAAAUUUUAAAUAAAUAAUUUAAAAACAACUUUUGACAAUGGAUCUCUUGUUCUCGCAACGAUGAAGAACGCAGCAAAAUGCGAUAAGUAAUGUGAAUUGCAGAAUACGUGAAUCAUCAAAUCUUCGAACGCAUAUUGCACUUUUUAGUUUACUAAAAAAGUAUGUCUGUUUGAGUAUCAGUAAAAUAUUCUCAUAAAAUCAUUUGAUUUAUGGUUAUGAGUGUUUUACAACGAUAAACAAGUUGUUUCACUUUAAAUGGAUUUUAAUUGAAAUCGUCGGUUGGGAACGAUUUAAUUUUUUUAAAAAAUUGGAUAAAAUUUUCCGUAAAAGGAAUAAAGCUAUUUCAGUUUUUUAGAAAUUUUAAUAGUUCCAUACCGGUACAGUUAAAGGAAAUUUAUUUAUAAAUAACUUGAUCUCAAAUCAGAUAAGAGUACCGCUGAACUUAAGCAUAUCAAUAACGGAGGAAAAGAAACUAACAAGGAUUCCUUAGUAACGGCGAGUGAAGCGGAAGAGCUCAAAUUUGAAAUCUUCAAGGUUCUACCUUGACGAAUUGUAGUUUAAAGAAGUGUUUCUGUUAGAGAGUGGCAAAAGUUCUUUGGAAUAGGACAUCAUAGAGGGUGAGAAUCCGUAUUUGGUCAUUCUUUCUAGCUGUGUGAUACACUUUCAAAGAGUCGGAUUGUUUGGAAUGCAGUCCAAAAUGGGUGGUAAUUUCAUCUAAAGCUAAAUAUUGGCGAGAGACCGAUAGCGAACAAGUACGUGAGGAAAGAUGAAAAGAACUUUGAAAAGAGAGUUAAACAGUACGUGAAAUUGUCAAAAGGAAGCGUUGACACCAGUGUUGUUUUUCCGAAAAUCAAUUGUGCCUGCUGGAUUUUGUAGGAGUUUGCCUUAUCAGCUUCUUCUGCUUUUUUCCGGUCUGGUGCAAUGCACUUUCGGUUAACAAGUCAACAUCAAUUUCUUUGUUGUAAAAGGGUAAUUGGAAGUGGCUUUCUUUUCGGAGAAAGUGUUUAUAGCCUUUACCUCUACAAUCGGAGAGAUUGAGUCUGCAGCGUAGAUCCUUCGGGUUAGAUACAUUUGUGCUAAGUUAUAGCCCUGUAUAGACAACUUGUGACUAUACUCGUC